This 30-nucleotide non-coding RNA is filed under the name Rattus norvegicus (Norway rat). Lineage: Eukaryota; Metazoa; Chordata; Mammalia; Rodentia; Muridae. The record is from RNAcentral.
UCCUUUCCGUAUCUACAGAGGAGGUGCUUA